RNAcentral lists this ribosomal RNA (417 nucleotides) under uncultured microorganism. Its description in RNAcentral is "bacterial SSU rRNA". It matches the Rfam family "Archaeal small subunit ribosomal RNA", at positions 330 to 745 of the family's 1478-position model. The record is from RNAcentral.
GUGCAGCAGGCGAGCAUACUUCACACUGUGCGAAGCACGAUGAGGGAAUCCCAAGUGCUUGCACGUAAGUGUAAGCUGUUUCUCUGUCUAAAACGCAGAGAGAGUAAGGGCUGGGUAAGACGGGUGCCAGCCGCCGCGGUAAUACCUGCAGCUCAAGUGGUGACCGUUAUUAUUGGGGCCUAAAACGUCCGUAGCCGGUUUAAUAAAUGCCUGGGUAAAUUGUGUAGCUUAACUAUACGAAUUCCGGGUAGACUGUUAAACUUGAGACCGGGAGAAGUUAGAGGUACUCCUGGGGUAGAGGUGAAAUUCUGUAAUCCUAGGGGGACCACCAGUGGCGAAGGCGUCUAACUAGAACGGGUCUGACGGUGAGGGACGAAGCCCUGGGGCGCAAAACGGGAUUAGGAUACCCCCGGUAGU